GACGAACGCUGGCGGCGUGCUUAACACAUGCAAGUCGAACGGAAAGGCCCCUUUGGGGGUCCUCGAGUGGCGAACGGGUGAGUAACACGUGAGUAACCUGCCCUUGACUUCGGGAUAACUUCAUGAAACUGGGGCUAAUACCGGCUAGGAAUCCUUGCUGCAUGGUGGGGGUUGGAAAGCUUCGGCGGUUUUGGAUGGACUCACGGCUUAUCUGCUUGUUGGUGGGGUAGUGGCUUACCAAGGCUUUGACGGGUAGCCGGCCUGAGAGGGCGACCGGCCACAUUGGGACUGAGAUACGGCCCAGACGCCUACGGGAGGAAGCAGGGGGGAAUAUUGCAAAAUGGGCGGAAGCCUGAUGCAGCAACGCCGCGUGCGGGAUGACGGCCUUCGGGUUGUAAACCGCAUUCAGCAGGGGAGAAGCUUGUGGUGACGGUACCUGCAGAAGAAGCACCGGCUAACUACGUG
RNAcentral lists this ribosomal RNA (465 nucleotides) under uncultured bacterium. RNAcentral's name for it is "partial 16S ribosomal RNA". It matches the Rfam family "Bacterial small subunit ribosomal RNA", at positions 28 to 507 of the family's 1533-position model. The record is from RNAcentral.